AUUGAACGCUGGCGGAAUGCUUUACACAUGCAAGUCGAACGGCAGCACGGACUUCGGUCUGGUGGCGAGUGGCGAACGGGUGAGUAAUGUAUCGGAACGUGCCCAGUCGUGGGGGAUAACGUAGUGAAAAUUACGCUAAUACCGCACACGAUCUAUGGAUGAAAGCGGGGGAUCGCAAGACCUCGCGCGUUUGGAGCGGCCGAUAUCAGAUUGGGUAGUUGGUGGGGUAAAGGCCCACCAAGCCAACGAUCUGUAGCUGGUCUGAGAGGACGACCAGCCACACUGGAACUGAGACACGGUCCAGACUCCUACGGGAGGCAGCAGUGGGGAAUUUUGGACAAUGGGCGAAAGCCUGAUCCAGCCAUUCCGCGUGCAGGAUGAAGGCCCUCGGGUUGUAAACUGCUUUUGUACAGAACGAAAAGGUUUCUACUAAUACUAGGAGCUCAUGACGGUACUGUAAGAAUAAGCACCGGCUAACUACGUGCCAGCCGCCGCAGUAA
RNAcentral lists this ribosomal RNA (500 nucleotides) under uncultured bacterium. RNAcentral describes it as "partial 16S ribosomal RNA". It matches the Rfam family "Bacterial small subunit ribosomal RNA", at positions 30 to 523 of the family's 1533-position model. The record is from RNAcentral.